This 297-nucleotide signal recognition particle RNA is filed under the name Aotus nancymaae (Ma's night monkey). RNAcentral's name for it is "Metazoan signal recognition particle RNA (ENSANAG00000003612.1)". It matches the Rfam family "Metazoan signal recognition particle RNA". From Rfam's summary of the family: The signal recognition particle (SRP) is a universally conserved ribonucleoprotein. It is involved in the co-translational targeting of proteins to membranes. The record is from RNAcentral. Lineage: Eukaryota; Metazoa; Chordata; Mammalia; Primates; Aotidae.
GCCGGGCACGGUGGUGCGUGCAUGUAGUCCCAGCUACUCCGGAGGCUGAGGUGGGAGGAUCGCUUGAGCCCAGGAGUUCUGGGCUGCGGUGCGCUAUGCCGAUUGGGUGUCCACACUAAGUUCAGCAUCAAUAUGGUUACCUCCUGGGAGCGGGGGACCACCAGGUUGCCUAAGGAGGGGUGAACAGACCCAGGUCGGAAAUGGAGCAUUUCAAAACUCCCGUGAUGAUCAGUAGUGGGAUCGCGUCUGAAUAGCCACUGCACUCCAGCCUGGCCAAAAUAGCGAGAUCCCGUCUCU